Molecule: long non-coding RNA, 272 nt
Organism: Lacerta agilis (Sand lizard)
Lineage: Eukaryota; Metazoa; Chordata; Lepidosauria; Squamata; Lacertidae
Exons: 4
Source: RefSeq, a predicted model, not a curated record
CGCCCCCCCCUCUACGCGUCAUGGCGGCCUGUGAGGAGAAAGGCUUGGCGGAAACGCUGAAGUCUCAAAUAGAGAAUAAAUGUUGAUCAUUGCACAAGGCAAACAUAUCCUGCCUGCUGGCCUGCAUGGUGCUUCCUCCCAAUUUCUCUCAACCCAGCCGGUCUGCGAACAAGUACCUGUGCAGAAGCUGAUGAUUCAUUAGAAUGAAAAGCUUGCUCCACCCAUCGGAACCUAGUUCAGCUGCUGAUCGAUUGUGUGACUGCGGAAAUGGA